This 249-nucleotide unclassified non-coding RNA is filed under the name uncultured Ascomycota. Its description in RNAcentral is "sequence contains ITS2". The record is from RNAcentral. Lineage: Eukaryota; Fungi; Ascomycota.
AUCAAAAACCAUCGACUCCAUUCUUUGGAAUCGGAUCUGGGCUUUCGCGGGAUCCUCCCCGCCGGCCUGAAAUUGAAUCGCGCGUCGUGUUAUCUUAGAUCUGCCGAAUUUCGUAUUUGGCAAGACUUUGAAGGACUCCCUAAAGCGUCAUAGUUGGCUGCGCCAUCUUUCGCUGAUUUUGGGAGUUGUGCGCGCCGCGCGUUGCUUUUCUCUGUGCUAGAGAUUUCUCGCAUAAGAAAAAAUUUUGAA